CGCCGGACCUGACUGCUAUCGGAUUGAUACUAAGUCAUGCGAGUCAUUGUAGCAAUACAAGGCAUACGGCUCAGUAACGCGUAGUCAACCUAACCUAUGGACGGGAAUAACCUCGGGAAACUGAGAAUAAUACCCGAUAGAACAUUAUACCUGGAAUGGUUUAUGUUCCAAAUGAUUUAUCGCCGUAGGAUGGGACUGCGGCCUAUCAGUUUGUUGGUGAGGUAAUGGCCCACCAAGACUAUUACAGGUACGGGCUCUGAGAGGAGUAGCCCGGAGAUGGGUACUGAGACACGGACCCAGGCCCUAUGGGGCGCAGCAGGCGAGAAAACUUUGCAAUGUGCGAAAGCACGACAAGGUUAAUCCGAGUGGUUUCUGCUAAAGAAACCUUUUGUCAGUCCUAGAAACACUGAUGAAUAAGGGGUGGGCAAGUUCUGGUGUCAGCC
Molecule: ribosomal RNA, 443 nt
Filed under: uncultured archaeon
Lineage: Archaea
Description: bacterial SSU rRNA
Rfam family: Archaeal small subunit ribosomal RNA
Source: RNAcentral